GAGACUCUGUGCGCGUGCAUAUCAAUAAGCGGAGGAAAAGAAACUAACAAGGAUUCCCUUAGUAACGGCGAGUGAAGCGGGAAGAGCUCAAAUUUGAAAUCUUCAAGGGUUCUACCUUUACGAAUUGUAGUUUAUAAGAAGUGUUUUCUGUUAGUAGAGUGGCUAAAAGUUCUUUGGAAUAGGACAUCAUAGAGGGUGAGAAUCCCGUAUUUGACGUCACUUUCUAGCUACGUUGUGAUACACUUUCAAAGAGUCGGAUUGUUUGGGAAUGCAGUCCAAAAUGGGUGGUAAAUUUCAUCUAAAGCUAAAUAUUGGCGAGAGACCGAUAGCGAACAAGUACCGUGAGGGAAAGAUGAAAAGAACUUUGAAAAGAGAGUUAAACAGUACGUGAAAUUGUCAAAAGGGAAGCGUUUGACACCAGUGUUGUUUUUCCGAAAAUCAAUUACGAAUGUUUUGUUUUUAAGAAGUUAUGACUUCAUCGGCUUGCUUCUUUCUUUACGAAACUUUCUUAAUGCACUUUUCGGUUAACAAGUCAACAUCAAUUUCUUUUGUUGUAAAAGGGUAUGAGGAAGGUGGCUUUCUUUUCGGAGAAAGUGUUUAUAGCCUUGUACCUCUGCAAUCGGAGAGAUUGAGGUCUGCAGCGUAGAUCCUUCGGGGUUAGAUACAUUUGUGCUAAGUUAUAGCUUUUCAUAGACAACUUGUUGACUAUGUUUAGUCUUGUAGCUUACUCGCUUAUGCUAUUUUACCUACGCUUAGGAUGUUGAUCUGUAGUGCGUGCGC
RNAcentral lists this ribosomal RNA (780 nucleotides) under uncultured Neocallimastigales. RNAcentral's name for it is "partial large subunit ribosomal RNA". It matches the Rfam family "Eukaryotic large subunit ribosomal RNA", at positions 23 to 647 of the family's 3401-position model. Lineage: Eukaryota; Fungi; Neocallimastigomycota; Neocallimastigomycetes; Neocallimastigales. The record is from RNAcentral.